Molecule: ribosomal RNA, 492 nt
Filed under: uncultured bacterium
Lineage: Bacteria
Description: partial 16S ribosomal RNA
Rfam family: Bacterial small subunit ribosomal RNA
Source: RNAcentral
AGUGAACGCUGGCGGUAUGCCUAACACAUGCAAGUCGAACGGCAGCACAUUAAGAGCGUGCUCUUACGGUGGGCGACUGGCGGGCGGGUGAGGUAUACAUCGGAAUCUACGUUUGCGUGGGGGAUAACGUAGCGAUAGUUACGCUAGUACCGCAUACGACCUACGGGUGAAAGCAGUGGAGCUUCGUACGUUACUCGAUUGGAUGAGCGCGUGUCGGAUUAGCGAGCUGGCGGGGUAAAGGCCCACCAAGCCGACGCUCCGUAGCUGGUCUGAGAGAAUGAUCAGCCACACUGGAACUGAGACACGGUCCAGACUCCUACGGGAGGCCGCAGUGGGGUAUAUUGGACAACGGGAGCAAGCCUGAUCCAGCCAUACCGCGUGGGUGAAGAAGGCCUUCGGGUUGUAAAGCCCUUUUGUUGGGAAAGAAAAGCAGCAGGUUAAUACCAAGCUGUUAUGACGGUACCCAAAGAAUAAGCACCGGCUAACUUCGUG